Molecule: non-coding RNA, 88 nt
Filed under: uncultured Dysgonomonas sp.
Lineage: Bacteria; Pseudomonadati; Bacteroidota; Bacteroidia; Bacteroidales; Dysgonomonadaceae
Description: TPP riboswitch (THI element)
Rfam family: TPP riboswitch aptamer (THI element) (bases 6-77)
About the family: Vitamin B(1) in its active form thiamin pyrophosphate (TPP) is an essential coenzyme that is synthesised by coupling of pyrimidine and thiazole moieties in bacteria. The previously detected thiamin-regulatory element, thi box was extended, resulting in a new, highly conserved RNA secondary structure, the THI element, which is widely distributed in eubacteria and also occurs in some archaea. Analysis of operon structures identified a large number of new candidate thiamin-regulated genes, mostly transporters, in various prokaryotic organisms.
Source: RNAcentral
AUCGUUAGGGGUGCCUUAAUAAUACGGGCUGAGAUCAUACCCAUAAAACCUGAUCCGGAUAAUGCCGGCGUAGGGAACAAAAAAAAUA